RNAcentral lists this non-coding RNA (30 nucleotides) under Rattus norvegicus (Norway rat). Lineage: Eukaryota; Metazoa; Chordata; Mammalia; Rodentia; Muridae. The record is from RNAcentral.
UGAAAUUCGCAGAAAAUUUAAAUCGUGGGC